GAUGAACGCUGGCGGCGUGCCUAAUACAUGCAAGUCGAGCGAACAGACGAGGAGCUUGCUCCUCUGACGUUAGCGGCGGACGGGUGAGUAACACGUGGAUAACCUACCUAUAAGACUGGGAUAACUUCGGGAAACCGGAGCUAAUACCGGAUAAUAUAUUGAACCGCAUGGUUCAAUAGUGAAAGACGGUUUUGCUGUCACUUAUAGAUGGAUCCGCGCCGCAUGAGCUAGUUGGUAAGGUAACGGCUUACCAAGGCAACGAUGCGUAGCCGACGUGAGAGGGUGAUCGGCCACACUGGAACUGAGACACGGUCAAGACUCCUACGGGAGGCAGCAGUAGGGAAUCUUCCGCAAUGGGCGAAAGCUUGACGGAGCAACGCCGCGUGAGUGAUGAAGGUCUUCGGAUCGUAAAACUCUGUUAUUAGGGAAGAACAAAUGUGUAAGUAACUAUGCACGUCUUGACGGUACCUAAUCAGAAAGCCACGGCUAACUACGUG
RNAcentral lists this ribosomal RNA (497 nucleotides) under uncultured bacterium. Its description in RNAcentral is "partial 16S ribosomal RNA". It matches the Rfam family "Bacterial small subunit ribosomal RNA", at positions 28 to 507 of the family's 1533-position model. The record is from RNAcentral.